UGGUCAUAUUUCCAAAAAUACCCUUAGAUAUUACAAAUUUACUAGUUUCGGAAACCGUUUUCAAAAUUUCUAUGCACUUAGACCACCUCCAUCGGAGGUUUUAGGAAAGGGUUCUAAAAAAAAAGAUAAAAAAAUAAAUCAAAAAUAAGCUAAAAACAUAGAACCGGUGCUUAAUAUGACUUUUUAGAAUUGGUGAGAAUCCCUACAUGUCACUUUAGUAUUGGGUAAUAAAUUUUCCAAUGUAUCUCUUUGGGAAUCUCUUUGUUGAUGUUUUUUACGAAGUCAAUUAGCAGUUGAUUUUUCCGAAGGAAGAAGCUCGAGAGAUGGAGGCUGCCGUUCUAUUGAAGCCGGAGCAUAGGCUCAAGUAUCUUUUUCUCCUCAGCUUCUGCCAUGUCCGGAGAAGAAGAAGAGAACGCUGCCGAACUCAAGAUUGGAGAUGAGUUUUUGAAGGCAAAGUGCUUAAUGAACUGUGAAGUGUCUUUGAUCCUUGAGCACAAGUAUGAACAGCUUCAGCAAGUCUCCGAGGAUCCUAUGAAUCAAGUUUCUCAACUAAAGAAUUGAAGAAUGUACGGAGAUUUUUGAUAUAUGUCUACACUGAUGCAUAUUACUUUUAGAUGCACGCUAUUUUAGUGAUUGAGAAGUCUUUGCAGUAUGUGAAGCGAUUUAGUCGGUACAAGAAUCCAGAUGCUGUUCGACAAGUUCGAGAGUAUCAUCUUUCUGUAUGAUUAGUUUAUUCAGUAGACCUAGUAUUACAAGAAUGCAUUGAUUAUGCGUUUAUUAGCACUUAACCCAUGAAUGAGAGAGUUUAAUGUCAUUGGUUCAAUUCUUUAGUUUUGUGAGAGUAUAUAUGCCGUAUGAUUUUGACUGCACCAUGUGUGUUUACCUUAAUUCAAGUUUCACAGAAUCUUGAGCAGGCAUCAGUUCACUGAGUUUGAGCUUUGCGUUCUUGGCAAUCUCUGUCUUGAAACUGCUAAAGAAGCAGUGGCAAUGGUUCCUUCUCUCAAAACAAAAGGAAGUGCUCAUAGUAAUAAAGCGACCGAGAAUAUACUUAAUGAUCUCUCCCUUGUCAAGAGAUUCGAGUAGUUGCGGAAAGUUCUCAAGAUCUAAGAUUAUAAACAUAUUUCAGGGGACUACAUUCUCUUUC
This is an RNA transcript of Brassica oleracea var. oleracea, 1144 nucleotides long. It is a transcript of the gene named DNA-directed RNA polymerase II subunit 4-like, with no coding region annotated. The transcript has 6 exons. The record is from RefSeq and is a predicted model, not a curated record. NCBI's taxonomy places the organism in Eukaryota, Viridiplantae, Streptophyta, Magnoliopsida, Brassicales, Brassicaceae.